AUGAGAGACAAUGAACCACAUGAGAUACCGGCUCAGACGUCGCCCGGUCUAACAAGGUCUGCGUCAGGUGUUGGGGAACCAGAGCACCUUGGCGAGAAGUGGGCUACUGGAACAAGAAAGAAAUGGCUGAGAUGUGAGAACAAGGCUCUGUUGGAAUGCUACUACUCAAGUAACCCUAGUCAGAGGGGUUACAUGCAAAGAAUGAGCGGUGAAUGGGAACGGAGAAACCCACAUUCAAGGCUGACGGCGAAACAACUAGUAGCUCAGUGUUCCAACAUCCACAAACGGCAACUGCUAUCACAACUUGAGAUUGACGAGAUACAACACAAAUGCUACGGCAAGGGGGAGCCAGGACGCCAGGUCAGAGGGGAGAUUUCACCAUCUCCCCAACCGGAAAUUGGGUACGAAGCCCCAAUAAGCACAGAUACGCUGAGCGAGGCAGCAACUGACCUGAAAGAUAAGAUCAUGGCGAGAUUGAACAGGCAACCCCGAACCCCACUACAACGGCUAAGUGAAGUACCAUCAGAAAGUCUCAUGGAAGAUGUGAAUGCAGCAUUGAGAGCGAUCCCUACCACAACAAUCACAGAAACCAAUGAGCUGAUAUACGCUUCAGCAUUGAUCCUAGAGGUGCUUGGCUAUAAGAGCAACCAUGGGAGCCAUGAGAAACAAUACCCACCAUGGAAACGAAGGUUGGAGGCAAAAAUCAAGGCAGCUCGGAGGGAAGUGAGCCAAAUGACAGAGGCCCAGAGAGGUGCAAUGAAAAGACCAAUGCCCAAGAGGUACAGCCAGAUGACCAUACCUGAAGCACUCAAAACUGCCAAGCAAAGGCUACAAGCCUUGGCCAGCCGCCUAAAGAGAUACACCAGAGAUAACGAAGCCAGACGAAUAAACCGGCUGUUCGCAACACAACCUGCGAAAGUGUACUCUCAAUGGCAGGGUAAUAAUAAUAUAGCAGAGCAGACCCACCAAGGCUGGAAACUGAACAGUACUGGAAGGGUAUAUGGGAAAGGGAGGCAUCACACAACAGUGAUGCACAGUGGCUGGUGGAUCUGA
This 1053-nucleotide long non-coding RNA is filed under the name Betta splendens (Siamese fighting fish). RNAcentral describes it as "lncRNA (ENSBSLG00000010770.1)". Lineage: Eukaryota; Metazoa; Chordata; Actinopteri; Anabantiformes; Osphronemidae. The record is from RNAcentral.